UUGAAUUUUUAAAAUUAAGAAAUCCGUGAUUUUACUUGCAGGCAUGACUGAUUAAUGGAAUUAUUUUACUUUUAUAUAGAAUAUGGACGGCACUCCAUUACAGCAUGUGCAUGGUUGGACCUGUUGACAUUUUUAGAAACGCAUCUUGGUCUAUUAUACAGAGUAUUGUUGUACUGCUCCAAAGUGCUUGUUGACAGACUGAAACCACUUGCUUGCGGCUCAUAAGGUUCACUUCUUGAGAGCAGGCAGCUACAAAAUGGAAGGUCAACAAAUCCAGUAUACUUGAAAAGCAAGAAAGAAACAUCAGAAAAUAUAAAAAAGACAGAAGAACAAGGGAACUUUAAUAAAAAAAAACUUUUAAGGAUAGGAAUUCAGGAUUUAUUUAGAAACUAAAUAUAUUUUGAGAACAGCAGUGUUUGACUAAGCUCUGUUACUUUAAGAGAUAAUGUGAUUAUCACAUUGGUUUUGUUAUUGUCGAGCCCGCUUGCGGAAGCGAAGACAUAGUUGUUUAAAUGUCUAUUCGGUGUAUGUGAGUGUGUGCGUCCGUCCGGAUUUGUUUGUCCGGACUAUAAUUUGGACAUGCAUGGAGCAAUCUUGUUUAUAUAUGGUAUGAAUGUUAACCUCAGUGAGACGGAGUGCCAUGCGCAAGCCCCAGGUUCCUAUUUCAAAGGUCAAGAUCACACUUACAGGUCAAAAGUCAAAUUCAAAAAUGACUUUGUCCGGAGCAUUUCUUCUUCAUGCAUGGAGGGAUUUUGAUGUAACUUGGCACAAUUGUUCACCAUCAUGAGAUGGAGUGUCCUGCGCAAGAACCAGGUCCCUAGGUCUAAGGUCAAGGUCACACUUAGAGGUCAAAGGAUAAAAGAAUGACAACUUUGUCUGGAGGGACUUUAGAUGUAACUUGGCACAAAUGUUCACCACCAUGAGACGGAGUGUCAUGCGGAAGAACCAGGUCUAAGGUCAAGGUCACACUUAGAGGUCAAAGGUCAGAUACAAGAAUGACUUUGUCUGGAGCUUUUCUUUUUGAUGCAUAGAGGGAUUUUGAUGUAACUUGGCACAAUUGUUCAUCAUCAUGCGACGGAGUGUUAUGCAUAAGAUCCUAGAAUUACUUCCCUUUGUUGUUACUAUAAAUAGCUUACAUUUGUAACUUGUUUAUUACUGGUCGUAGGGAAAAAUCAAGACCACUUUUCUGUAGUACAACAUGCAUGUUACAUCCAAUUUUUAGGUGUAUUUUGACCUAUCUCUGCUGGUGCGGAUUUUUGUGUGAAUUUUUUUUUUAAUUUUUU
Mercenaria mercenaria is the source of this 1283-nucleotide long non-coding RNA. RefSeq lists it as uncharacterized. Lineage: Eukaryota; Metazoa; Mollusca; Bivalvia; Venerida; Veneridae. The record is from RefSeq and is a predicted model, not a curated record. The transcript has 3 exons.